GCGGGGGUAGCCAAGCCUGGUCAAAGGCGCAGGGCUUAGGGCCCUGUCCCGUAGGGGUUCGUGGGUUCGAAUCCCACCCCCCGCA
Molecule: transfer RNA, 85 nt
Filed under: Nitrososphaerota archaeon
Lineage: Archaea; Thermoproteati; Nitrososphaerota
Also listed under: 2 other names
Description: tRNA-Leu
Rfam family: tRNA
About the family: Transfer RNA (tRNA) molecules are approximately 80 nucleotides in length. Their secondary structure includes four short double-helical elements and three loops (D, anti-codon, and T loops). Further hydrogen bonds mediate the characteristic L-shaped molecular structure. tRNAs have two regions of fundamental functional importance: the anti-codon, which is responsible for specific mRNA codon recognition, and the 3' end, to which the tRNAs corresponding amino acid is attached (by aminoacyl-tRNA synthetases). tRNAs cope with the degeneracy of the genetic code in two manners: having more than one tRNA (with a specific anti-codon) for a particular amino acid; and 'wobble' base-pairing, i.e. permitting non-standard base-pairing at the 3rd anti-codon position.
Source: RNAcentral